This is a long non-coding RNA of Gavialis gangeticus (Gharial), 942 nucleotides long. RefSeq lists it as uncharacterized. The transcript is spliced from 3 exons. The record is from RefSeq and is a predicted model, not a curated record. NCBI's taxonomy places the organism in Eukaryota, Metazoa, Chordata, Crocodylia, Gavialidae.
CCUCCCAUCUUUCUCCCAGCCAGAGCCAGAGCUAGAGCCUGAGCAGCAGUAGCAGGAGCAGCUGAUGAUGAGGAGAGAGGGGGAGGCUGGGGGACCUUUUAUUUAUAUUGUUAAAGGGACAGAGCGCUAAUUCCGCCCGGGAUUGGUGUGUGGGGGGGUCGGAGCGAGGAGCCUGAGUUUCUCCCCCCACCCCCAGCCCAGCCAGAGGAUCCCAGAGAGACCCUGGGAGAGGAGAGUUUCUUCCUCCCCUUUGGCCGUCAGAGGAGAGAGAAAGAGACCAAAAGCCUCUUAGCAGCGCAGCCCCUUCUUCUGUCUCUGCUGCUGCUGCUGCUCGGCCCUGGCUGGAGACCCCUCAGCACACGCACACGGAGGAGCAGCAGCCAGUUCACCAGCCCCCCCCUCCCCUCCUCCCCCUUUAUUACCCUUUGUGUGUGUCUCCUUCUGCACUGCUGCAGGCCGGGGAAUAAAAGUGGGGUGCAGCCAAGAUUCUCAUUGAGAAUGUUGAUUAUUGGAUGUAUAAGAGUUGGAGAGCAUAUUGUUUACAGUGAAGAUCUUUUAAAAUCUGCUUUUUAGACAGCAACGUUUUCUACAGCACCCAUCACUGCAAUAUGUGCAACUCAUCAAAAACAAUGUUAUAUUAGAAUAUGAAGGGUAGCCAUCGGAGGUUUUAUUAUGGUGUUUGGACUAAAGAAAGAAGAAAUUGUAAACAAAUAUGCAAGGUAAAAUAUAGUGGUCAGUUUUCUUACGGCUUAGGGUAUUUUUUGGAUUUUAGUUGUGUAAUUCAUUUUAAUUGUACCUCUAAAGCACGGCUUGUGAUCUACCUUUUAUUUACUCUAAUGCCUGUGGACUCUACUGAUCAAAAUAAGUGUCAUGUCCUCAGGAGAUUUUUCUGUCCAUUAUACUUGAUAUAUGGAAUAAGUACUGAAAACUUUAUAUUCUACU